Fundulus heteroclitus (mummichog) is the source of this 654-nucleotide long non-coding RNA. RefSeq lists it as uncharacterized. NCBI's taxonomy places the organism in Eukaryota, Metazoa, Chordata, Actinopteri, Cyprinodontiformes, Fundulidae. The record is from RefSeq and is a predicted model, not a curated record. The transcript has 4 exons.
GUUAAACCAUUAAAUCAUGUUUCCCUUGUAGUUAAAAUGCCGAGAACCUGAAUUUUGCGCUGCGUAGAUCACCACAAGUUUCCCAUCUAUUGCUCAGACACAGUCGGGGGAAGCUCCACCACUCUUGAAAGCCCAGAGUGAUCACCAGCCAAUCAGCAACCUUUGGUUCAGGCAGAGGUUCAUCCACCAGGCUUUCCCAAAUGGCCUCGGACACAUCUGGCACAAUGUUUGCUACGGUGGAGAAGCCCACUCUGCAGCGGCGGUGUAACAGUCACCUGUUGCCAGUGAAGGGAGAGAGAGUGGGAAAGAGAUGGAGUGGUGAGAGAGCAGCGGAGAAGUGACACAAAUCAAUGUGAGCACCCAAACCACCAUCACCAGCAGCGGCGACAGCCUCCCCGACCUCCAUCACCCCUCUGCCUUUCCCUGUGAGAGACCAGCUGAGACAGACUCCAAGAAAGGGGACUCCUUUAACAGCACUUCACUGGGUUGGCCGAGUCUCUGAUGGGUAUUCCCUCUGCAGCAGAGCCACCUCCACCGGGACGCUUGUAGCUCCUUGCUCAAAUGAUAUUGGCUGCAGCAGGGGUGCAUAAAAACUGGUGGAGCAUCGGCUGUCGCUAAGAGAAACUGAAGGACAUAAAGGAAGUUAGACUGAGA